GCUUAAAGCGCAUCGAAGAUGGCGACGGAGGGUAGGGUCGAGCUAGUCGCUUAGAAAGGAAGCUUCCUCCUCGUCGUUUAAACGGCCGUAAACGUCGACGUAAUGUCGUAUUUGAUGGUGGUGGUGGUGGUGUGGGUACUUUUUCCUAACUAGGAUUUUUCCCUCAAA
Molecule: long non-coding RNA, 168 nt
Organism: Polistes dominula (European paper wasp)
Lineage: Eukaryota; Metazoa; Arthropoda; Insecta; Hymenoptera; Vespidae
Source: RefSeq, a predicted model, not a curated record